This 464-nucleotide ribosomal RNA is filed under the name uncultured bacterium. RNAcentral describes it as "partial 16S ribosomal RNA". It matches the Rfam family "Bacterial small subunit ribosomal RNA", at positions 29 to 507 of the family's 1533-position model. The record is from RNAcentral.
ACGAACGCUGGCGGCGUGCUUAACCCCUGCAAGUCGUACGGUAAGGCCCUUUCGGGGGUACACGAGUGGCGAACGGGUGAGUAACACGUGAGUAACCUGCCCACAACUUUGGGAUAACGCUAGGAAACUGGUGCUAAUACUGGAUAUGUGCUCCUGCUGCAUGGUGGGGGUUGGAAAGCUCCGGCGGUUGUGGAUGGACUCGCGGCCUAUCAGCUUGUUGGUGGGGUAGUGGCCUACCAAGGCGGCGACGGGUAGCCGGCCGGAGAGGGUGACCGGCCACAUUGGGACUGAGAUACGGCCCAGACUCCUACGGGAGGCAGCAGGGGGGAAUAUUGCACAAUGGGCGCAAGCCUGAUGCAGCAACGCCGCGUGCGGGAUGACGGCCUUCGGGUUGUAAACCGCUUUCAGCAGGGACGAAGCUUUUUGUGACGGUACCUGCAGAAGAAGCACCGGCUAACUACGUG